RNAcentral lists this ribosomal RNA (440 nucleotides) under uncultured bacterium. RNAcentral's name for it is "partial 16S ribosomal RNA". It matches the Rfam family "Bacterial small subunit ribosomal RNA", at positions 338 to 795 of the family's 1533-position model. The record is from RNAcentral.
CCUACGGGAGGCAGCAGUGGGGAAUAUUGCACAAUGGGGGAAACCCUGAUGCAGCGACGCCGCGUGAGUGAAGAAGUAUUUCGGUACGUAAAGCUCUAUCAGCAGGGAAGAUAAUGACGGUACCUGACUAAUAAGCCCCGGCUAACUACGUGCCAGCAGCCGCGGGAAUACGUAGGGGGCAAGCGUUAUCCGGAUUUACUGGGUGUAAAGGGUGCGUAGGUGGCAGGGCAAGCCAGAUGUGAAAGCCCGGGUCUCAACCCCGGAAUUGCAGUUGAAACUGUCGAGCUGGAGUGCAGGAGAGGAAAGCGGAAUUCCGAGGGUAGCGGUGAAAUGCGUAGAUAUUAGGAGGAACACCAGUGGCGAAGGCGGCUUACUGGACUGUAACUGACGCUGAGGCACGAAAGCGUGGGGAGCGAACAGGAUUAGAUACCCCUGUAGUC